CACAUCUGUUUGUAAAUCUUCCUGCCUAUUAGGCGUAAGGUUGCUGUUCCCAAAACAGAAAAGAAAUAACCUUUGUAGGUGGUACAUUUGACACACAAACUACCAACGGCCGUGGUAGCUAGCAACUCAAGAGUUCAAAAAUAAGACGCAGAAGGGAGAGAUCUAUUUCAGAACACACGUCGGAGAUAUUCUCAGAUCAGAGAAGUCAAGAGAAGAGCUUAAGUGCUUGUAUGAUCACGUGUACCACAAUGCAUGGAUAUUGGAAGUUCACGUCUUAACUUCUGACUUCUGAAUCAUAAACUGAAGAAAUAGAAGGCGAUUGAUAAGUUGGCUGCCUUUGAUUUGCUGGAUUUCAAAUUGUGCAGGCCUGUGAAACAACAACAACAACAAAUAACAGAGGGUCAGAGGGAAAGUAUUUAUUGUAUUGUGCUUGUGACACUGAAGUCUCUGACACCGAUUGGCUGCUCAGGAAUAUAUCAAAAGCAAAGCCACUUCAGGAAUAUGCAGGCAACACUGAUGAAUGCCUCCACUGGAAGUUGAUGAUUCUUUACUAAUUAAACCUGCUCCAAAGG
Molecule: long non-coding RNA, 572 nt
Organism: Hemicordylus capensis (graceful crag lizard)
Lineage: Eukaryota; Metazoa; Chordata; Lepidosauria; Squamata; Cordylidae
Exons: 4
Source: RefSeq, a predicted model, not a curated record